Cyprinus carpio carpio is the source of this 2080-nucleotide long non-coding RNA. NCBI's taxonomy places the organism in Eukaryota, Metazoa, Chordata, Actinopteri, Cypriniformes, Cyprinidae. The record is from Ensembl.
GGCUCGUGCUGGAUCUCACAGCUGUGUUUAAUCUGUGAUUGCUCUUUCUUCCGGUGCAGAGGAGCGCGUGUGAUUUCGUUCCGCUUUUGGAGUUUGGACACUUCUCAUGCACAAUAGAAAUAAAUGGCAGCACUUGUGUGGCUCCCGUGCGACCGAUAACAAACUUCAGUCUCACCGGCAGAAAAAAAAAAAGAAAAAAAAAAACAUUUGCAAAAUAUGAGCGAAUAGUCUGGAUCCCUGCCACUUCAGAGAACCUGUCAGACUUGUUGAGCGUAGCUUUCUUAGCAAAACAAAAGGCAGGACACAGCUACUUUUAAAGCGUUUUCUAAACUAACUGAUCAUCAGCAAAAACGACUUGUCUUUAUGUUCUUAGUUUUGUUUAUACGGGUAACUUGAGUAAAAGAUAUUUAAAGUUAGGCUACAUUUGGUUUUAGGUUGCAUGAUGAAAUUAACCAAGACGAAAACAAACUCGCUCCUCACACUGAUUCUGCUGUUUCACACCAUGUCUGAGCAAGCAGGAGCUUCUCAUGAUGAUGAUGAUGACGAGGUGAGGAUCCUGAUGGUGGGAAUCCGAGGUCAGUCCAGAUUCAGUGCUGCAGAUCUUCUGUCAGGAAGGAAAGACGGUGGACAGGAGGACAGAGAGAUUGUAAAGACUCCAGUAAUUACAGACGAGGCUCGUAGAAUGAUGCUGAUCACUGGACCGAACCUCUGUGAGGAGGACACAGAGAGACAGACCUUCACAACAGCGCUGUUUCUCUCGUCUCCUGGACCUCACGCCGUUCUAAUGCUCCUGAAUCUGGAAGAUCAACAAUCACAACAGUGUGAUAUUGUGAAACGAGCUCAGGAGCUGCUGGGAGCAGAAGUCCUGCAGUACUGCAUUGUUCUUCUGCUGCAAAAUCACCAGGAACCUUUCACAGGAGCCUCCAGAGAAAUGAUCGAUGCAUGUGGAGGAAGAUUUCUCAUCAUAAGAGACUCUGAACCUAAACCUGCUCAAAGAGCAGCUCUCGUAGCAGAAAUACACAAGUUAGUUUGGCUCAACGAUCACAGAUUUUACUCAGUAGUGACUCAAGGGUUGGAUGCAGAAGAGUCCAGUCAAAGUGUGCAUGAAGAAAAUAAGAUGCUCUCUGAAAAACAUGACAAUUCAGCAGGAACUGCACGAUGGAUUUUACUAAUUUUACUGAACACUGCUUUUAUUUUCACUAAAGUAAGACAUGAACAUUUUCAUUUUGCGGAAAUACUCUUCGUGCUUGUUAUUUUUACCGUCACUUUAAGAGAGACUCUCAAUCCAGAUGUUUCUGUUCCUUUAAAUUUGAUUGUAUCCUCAACUUUCACAGUAGCCUCUGCAUAUAAAGACUUCGCAAAUUCACGACAUGGACACCAAAUCAUAAUGUUUUUAGUCAUGAUCUUUACAUUUCCCAGUAUAGUGUUCAUAGCCGGUCUAGGACUGACUGUAGGAACAGCGGUCAGUGUACGGACGUGGUCAGAUGUGAUCAUAGCGUGCCACGCUGCUCCCGGAGUCACAUUCGGGGCUCAUUUAUACACGGUUUACUCCAUUAUACCUGAUCAAAUGCAAGCUCGUACAACUCUCAUUUUUGCACUCAAGUUAUUCCUGUUCUGUUUCGUUGGAGUGACGAUCUCGAUGGGGUUUGUGACUGUAUUUGCUCUGUUUGGAGUGAAGAUGACAAUAUUUCUGCUAAUAUUAGGAUUUACAAAAAUGUAUUUCCAUUUAAGGAGUCUUUCUCUGAAACUGUUUAUUUUUUUCCUGCUUUUUCCAUGCUGUUGUGUAUUUAUUGGUUCUUUAAUUUCAUUUUUAUACAGUUUAUUAUUUCAUUAUAUUUUAACAGUAAUUUGAAACCGAUAAUAGUGACUAAAUCACAAGAGACACUUACAGAUUUUGGAUCAUAAGUUAAUGCUGAUAUUGAUAUUGAUGUUUCUUCAACUAUGGGUAUUUUUGGCACUGUGUACUUUCAGGAAAUAAUCUCUCUUACAACCCAUCUUAUUUCUUUACUAACGAGCAUUUAACAUCAAUAAAGACAUCACAGGAAAAUCUUGAACAUUUACUGUGCAAUGUCAUUUCCAC